Non-coding RNA from Oryctolagus cuniculus (rabbit), 987 nucleotides. Lineage: Eukaryota; Metazoa; Chordata; Mammalia; Lagomorpha; Leporidae. The record is from RefSeq and is a predicted model, not a curated record.
CCUCGCCAGAGCAGGUGGGCGAGAAGAAGCCACAGAAGCGUCCGAAUUGCGAAGGAAGAAGCCACGUCGGCUCUUUCCUGAUGACGUCAUCUUACCUAAAGACAACCCAACGUCUCAACCAGAAACUGCCCUCACUGGUCACCGUCAGGUCACAGGAUCGCGGUCCACACACGAACUCCCGUCAGCGCUCCAAGGGAAAUCCACACAGCUCCACUUAGCAGAGCCCAGACCUCCAGCAGCCUGGAGUAAAGCAAAACUCAUGAUUUACAUGGAACCACAAAAGCCCAAAUAUUAAAACCACCGUGAGACUAAAGCCCCAAGCCGAGGUGUCUCACAGUCUGAUUCAAGACACACGACACAGCUGCGGUGUCCACACAGCAUGGCAACAAAUACGAACACACGGGGACACUGGGACAGCAGAGAGAACCCAGACGGACGGUCACUGUUACAGUCUACUGAUUUCUACAAGGGCAUCGAGAACUCACACUGGGGAAGGAGAGGACCUGCGGUGUGCUUUGAAAACUGUUUCCAUCUGCAGAAGACGGAAUGACAGCCCUGUCUCACCGUGUGUGCAAAAGUCAUGGGAUUUUUAUUGUUGGCCACCAAGGAUGAAUACAUGUUUGAGGACUUAGAUACGCUCCCUCUGGUCCGCAUACAGACGUGGGUCAAAACAUGACACGUAUAAGUAAUAUUGUGUCACUUAAAUAUCUUUAGGUCUUACCACAAUCAUUUUAAAUUAUGUGAAAGGGAACUACGUGAAACCUGAGAUAAUGAAACUCCUUUUAGAAAACAGAGGGGAACCCCGUGAGGACGUCUGGGCAGUGAUUGGUUGGCUGUAGCCACAGGAGCACAGACAACAGAAGCAAAAUCCCACGGGUGGAGGAGGUCAAUGCAGGGCAGCUGCUGGCGAUGCUGGCAUCCCAGUCAGAGUGCUGGCUUCCGGCCUGGCUGCCUCGCUUCAGACCCAGCGUCCCGCUGAUGGGCCUG